This 292-nucleotide ribosomal RNA is filed under the name uncultured microorganism. Its description in RNAcentral is "partial 16S ribosomal RNA". It matches the Rfam family "Bacterial small subunit ribosomal RNA", at positions 505 to 796 of the family's 1533-position model. The record is from RNAcentral.
GUGCCAGCAGCCGCGGUAAUACGUAGGUCCCGAGCGUUGUCCGGAUUUAUUGGGCGUAAAGCGAGCGCAGGCGGUUUGAUAAGUCUGAAGUUAAAGGCUGUGGCUCAACCAUAGAUCGCUUUGGAAACUGUCAAACUUGAGCUGCAGAAGGAGAGAGUGGAAUUCCAUGUGUAGCGGUGAAAUGCGUAGAUAUAUGGAGGAACACCGGUGGCGAAAGCGGCUCUCUGGUCUGUAACUGACGCUGAGGCUCGAAAGCGUGGGGAGCGAACAGGAUUAGAUACCCUGGUAGUCC